AGAGUUUGAUCCUGGCUCAGAACGAACGCUGGCGGCAGGCUUAACACAUGCAAGUCGAACGAUGUAGCAAUACAUAGUGGCGCACGGGUGAGUAACGCGUGGGAAUAUACCUUAUAGUGGGGAAUAACUUUGGGAAACUAAAGCUAAUACCGCAUACGCCCGAGAGGGGAAAGAUUUAUCGCUAUAAGAUUAGCCCGCGUGAGAUUAGGUAGUUGGUGGGGUAAUGGCCUACCAAGCCCACGAUCUCGAGCUGGUCUGAGAGGAUGAUCAGCCACACUGGAACUGAGACACGGUCCAGACUCCUACGGGAGGCAGCAGUGGGGAAUAUUGGGCAAUGGAGGAAACUCUGACCCAGCCAUGCCGCGUGAAUGAUGAAGGCCUUAGGGUUGUAAAGUUCUUUCGCCGAUGAAGAUAAUGACGGUAGUCGGAGAAGAAGCCCCGGCUAACUUCGUGCCAGCAGCCGCGGUAAUACGAAGGGGGCUAGCGUUGUUCGGAAUUACUGGGCGUAAAGCGAGCGUAGGUUGCUCGAUAAGUCAGUGGUGAAAGCCCAGAGCUCAACUCUGGAACUGCCAUUGAAACUGUCGAGCUGGAAUCUCAGAGGGGGUAGCGGAAUUCCAAAUGUAGGGGUGAAAUCCGUAGAUAUUUGGAGGAACACCGGUGGCGAAGGCGGCUACCUGGAUGAGUAUUGACACUGAGGCUCGAAAGCGUGGGGAUCAAACAGGAUUAGAUACCCCGGUAGUCC
RNAcentral lists this ribosomal RNA (742 nucleotides) under uncultured bacterium. Its description in RNAcentral is "bacterial SSU rRNA". It matches the Rfam family "Bacterial small subunit ribosomal RNA", at positions 8 to 796 of the family's 1533-position model. The record is from RNAcentral.